GGCUGUUAUCAAUCGAGCUAAACAGUGACAGUGACAGAACUUACACCCCGGACUUGUAAUAACAACCCCAGGGCACUUUGGGACUAUGUCACAAUGGCCCCCAUUCUAGUGAGACAGUGAUGUCACUGAAGUAAUUUCUGCAACAGAUGGGGGAAGAGGCCAGGCCACCGAGGGUCACAGGAGGUUUUUGAGCAGAUCAGAAGCCUGAUCAAAGGCUUGCUGUGGGAAGAUUGAUCUGGUGCCUGGACCCAGGCAGGAAAGCCCUGCUGGGAACCAUCCUGCCCCUCUGGACUCCUGUGGCUCUUUGUUUAUGCUCCUGGAGCAGUGUUGGUCUGCUGUUGCAGGCUGCUUGUUUAUUUAUUUACUCCUAUCCUACAACUUACUCCCUACUGCAGAGUCAUCAGGAUUUAAGAAGACUGUGAUUGGCUAUUUCAGAACCAUGUUCAGACAGCCGUAUCUUAAGCAUGUCCACUCGCUGGUAGGGCCGGAGCAUAGACAGUGUCAAUUCUGAAUCUUCAGGCCGACUGCGUGUUUGAGCUACACAGCAGGCAGGCAGAAGGACCCUACAUCCAGCCUCCACUGCCAAUUAGUUCAGAAUAUCCUAGCGCAUAAGGCAAAAUACCAGGGACUGGGGUGAGUGGACCUUAAUCUGUUAUGUACCAGGUGUGUGCAGGUGCACAGAGAGACCAGAAGAGGGCGCCAGGUCUUCUAGACCCUGAGAUACUGGCAAACAGUUGUGAACUGCUGACCUGCGAGCUGGGAACCCAAGUCAGGUCUCCCAAAGGAUCAUUAAGUGUUCUUUACUGCUCAGCCAUCUCUCCAGCAUGAAAUAUAUUUUUAAAAGGAUUCUGAUUAAUGAUAAUAUAUCUAUCCCUUAACUUUAAAAAGAAAAAGCAAUUAUUCUUAAUAAGCCAGGGCACACAUGCAUCAGAAAUUCCCUAAAGAUCUUGGAAUAGAAUAAUCUAAAAUAUAUUUAAACACCAGUAGGAUCAAUUUUCAGACUUGGGUGUCAUUCAAAUUGACUUUAUGUUAGCAUAUUUUUCUGUGUGAGAAAAAUUGUGUCAGAAAUAAAAAAAAAACCAUUUCUGUGUAAAUAUCCCAAAGGAAUAACCAUGUUAAUAAUUCUUAUAAAAUUGUGGUUAUAUGACAGACAAUUACUUUACACCAUUCAGGCUUUUUUAUCCCCACUGAGUAUUGUUUAAUACUUCGGUCCCAGGAAACUGCAACAGCCACAAAGGGCUAAUAAAACGACCGGUAUCAAAAUAUUUUAUGUAACAAUUUGUCCAUAUUCACAUAACCUGUCAUCUCUAUGGUUUGCCUAUUACACGAAUCAAAUGUGCGAUUCCUUAGUAUGAAUUUCCUAACACCAUUUACCUCCUCCCGAUAUGGCAGCUUUUAUUUUUAGGCAAAGAGUUGUGAGGCUAAUCUGAGGACACCCGGGGACCACCAAUAAACUGUCAGACUCCUAGCAAGUUAGAUUCCUUGUGAUUGGGUAGAGAGGUUUUUGUUUUGUUUUGUUUGCUUCCCCAUUAAUGACGGAUCCCUCCUUCCUCUUCAAAGUGUUGUUUUACAGUCAUAAUUUUAAAUGCUUGUAGCAUCUCUGAUUUUCCCCCUAAAAUCUACCUGGUUCCUGGGGGUAAGAUGUGGGUGAGC
RNAcentral lists this small RNA (1653 nucleotides) under Rattus norvegicus (Norway rat). RNAcentral's name for it is "uncharacterized LOC108351467". Lineage: Eukaryota; Metazoa; Chordata; Mammalia; Rodentia; Muridae. The record is from RNAcentral.